UGGGGAAUCUUCCGCAAUGGACGAAAGUCUGACGGAGCAACGCCGCGUGAGUGAUGACGGUCUUCGGAUUGUAAAGCUCUGUUAAUCGGGACGAAUGGUUUGUGUGCAAAUAGUGCAUAGACAUGACGGUACCGGAAUAGAAAGCCACGGCUAACUACGUGCCAGCAGCCGCGGUAAUACGUAGGUGGCAAGCGUUGUCCGGAAUUAUUGGGCGUAAAGCGCGCGCAGGCGGACUAGCCAGUCAGUCUUAAAAGUUCGGGGCUUAACCCCGUGAUGGGGUUGAAACUACUAGGCUAGAGUAUCGGAGAGGAAAGUGGAAUUCCUAGUGUAGCGGUGAAAUGCGUAGAUAUUAGGAAGAACACCAGUGGCGAAGGCGACUUUCUGGACGAACACUGACGCUGAGGCGCGAAAGCCAGGGGAGCGAACGGG
RNAcentral lists this ribosomal RNA (429 nucleotides) under Bacteroidota bacterium. Its description in RNAcentral is "Bacteroidetes bacterium partial 16S ribosomal RNA". It matches the Rfam family "Bacterial small subunit ribosomal RNA", at positions 355 to 776 of the family's 1533-position model. The record is from RNAcentral. Lineage: Bacteria; Pseudomonadati; Bacteroidota.